CCGGAGUGACCUUGUUGACGGCGACGAGCCGCGCUGGCUGACCGUAGAGACCUGGCCUCGCUCACUAACGCACAGGGUCUAGGUUGUCAUAUCAUGUCAUAAGUUCUUCACCACGGUGGGUGGCGUUUGUGGACCCCCCAUCAACCGCCGCUGGGCCGGUAAGUUCAGGCUGGAGUGGAGCCACCGCGGACGCCUAUAAGCCACGGGAGCGGUGAGGUGGGCGGCGCGCUCAAGAACCAGGCGAGCGGCCUCAAGCAGCCCGGCGGCGCUACGUCGUCGUCGUCGUUCCAGAGCUGUAUGUUUUAGACGUCGCCCUCCACUUCUGCGCUACCGAGUUCGGGUCUCUCCAAGAGCUGUAUAACGCCUUGACGCUCGACAAGCCCUAGGUUUUGUCCUGGGGAGUCUCCGGUGGCUCACCAAGAACCAAGGAAAAGUUGGCAUCCCAUGUAGCCAAGAAGGCCUUACUACCCAUAGUUACCGUUUUUUUCUCCUUACCCUUCUCACCAUUGCUUCGUGUGCUCAUGGAAUUCCAACUGUUACAUUUCCGUGACUUAACGAUGAUACGAGCACGUCUUUUAUUGGGAUGUAAGUACUCCGCCUAUAUAACCUACGAACUUGGCCGAAUACUCGUGUAACAAGAACAGGUGAUAUCUCUACACGAUCUCCCGUCGUAAAGUCAUAGUCGUGAUUUGCCAAGUGGUUGUAGGAUAGUCUUACCGUCACGAUCGUCUCGCCUACGUGUAUCAAGUGGCCCCAACUGUUCACUCUAUUAACGCGGUGCAGAGGAGAGCGCGUCGGGUCCUAGGCGCCUUCUUCAAUCAAGGGUCUAGGACUGGUAUUUGUUACUUAGUUUACUAUGUUCAGUUAAACUAACCGCCGCCUACGAACUUUACGUCAACUCAGACCUUUUGUUCCUUGCAGUACUACAAUGACCGCUCUAAGACGGUUUAGUACUAGGAUUAGGAUAAGGACCCUAGGUCUUACUUCUUAAGCUGUGUCCAUGUUUGGAACGUCUAUAGAAAAUACUUGACCUCCUCAAAUCACUUCUGUUGGCAUGACUUCCUUCGGUUGGAAUAGCGCUAGGAUAACUACAGUAUUCUUUAAGUCGUACCAACCUUCUCCUGGUCGAAUUAAGAAAAGACGUAAGUGGAGGACACUGUCAACUACUUUUGGUUACCAAGGUAUAAAUACUCCAAAGAGGUCUUACCCGUAAAACAAGACUUUCACGAUUCCAACAGUAACGUCCUCUGAAGGGGAGGUUAUAAAAUACCCAUGAUAAACCACUACAAUUCCAUGGACGCCUUUAACAGGUCGUUCCACAGUAGGCAACAAUAUGAGGUAGUAUGGAACCACGACCUUUCCACUCUUACACGUACGAGCUACUCUUACCCUUUGGAACGUGACUUCGAGCUCUUAAACCUAAACAACUUUUCGGAUGGUUGUGUUACUAAUAACCCUUGCCCUUUGGGACGUCACUUCGUGCUCUUAAACUUAAGGUUGUCUCCGGAUGGUUUUCACUGUUACUCGACAACAACGAAGAAUUGAUACACGUCUACGAAAAACUAUCAGUACCGACACUUGAGAAGAGUUUCAAGUCCAGCGGUGAGGGUUUACAGGUCAGACCUAAGGGUCAAUUGGGGAGUCUCUAAUAUCCCUCUUGUACACUCGUCAACCUGGUACUCUUACGUCAUUUAACGUAGUACCUUCACUACGAAUUGUCAUUCAAGCUCCUGACCGAUAGUAGGUUUAAACUUGUCUUGUCACUUCCCCACAUAAACGAAGGAUUCGUUAUGGUACCACAAUAUGUAUGUUAACGACGUGACCCUAUGCUGACCCGAGACUUUGGCGACGAAUUAUUACCGCACGGAUAUUUGAUGGCACUACGUUUACCUACCUGGCGAGACGUAACCCGACGUGCUAAGCCUUCCGUUGUUUACCAUCGCCAAGAACAACGACGUCCGCGACGACAUCCACGUGAAAGUCUAGGUUGUCGCCUUCUGGGACGACGGUUCUGUGGACGAAGCUAUCGCAGACGUAUACCAAAGUAUCCGUAGAGACGUAAGGAAAGUCUUCGUCUUGAUUGGUCAUGGAAAGUAAGAGACCUUAGUGUUCUUUUACCCUUUGGGCAUCUAGUAUUACCACCUCACUCAUGUAGAUCACGGCACCUAUCUCAUAGUCUAUUUACGCGUGUAUACCUACCACCUUGACUACUGGUCGAACGUGACUUCCUAAGAAAUCCUCGAUAGGCUUUACGACAAGUUCGACGGCCCACGUAUGUUCGAUGGAAGGCACACAAAAGGAAUUUUUUCUUCUUUGUUUUCCGAGAAGUCUUACCUCUAUCGAGACGAAGCGGUAGAUACGAGCUUUCUCGACGUAAUAGAUAGGUCUUCUUGAAGUCCACGACCUUCUUUGCAUUCCUUAUAGUCUUUCAAGCCUUUUUACAGUAGUUCUAAGUCCGUGCCAAGUCUCGAGUGGCUCUUUCUUUGUUCAUGUUCCUCAAUGAAGUUUCACAACCGUAGGAACUCUUCUAGUACGACUCCACCAAGGCUUUUCCGCAACCAGACGCUCCUUAGUUAUCGUCCCGCUACGGUUAGCUGGUUCUGCUCCUUCUUCUGUAACAGUUCCAAAAGGCGUUCCUUUCUCACCUCUGUCGACAGUCACUCCGACAAAGCUCCCAUAGCCGAUAGCAGCCAACGGGACAGCGUUCCGACCUGAUGGCGUCCUACGAGCUUUACGUGGUUGUUCGUUUCUAACCGGUACCUUUCAUCGACUAGACCGUGGUCGAUACAACUACUGUCUCGUGACCCGUCGGUGAUAGGACACAGGAGGAGGGGACAAUUUACUACUGGACCUUUCGUCGACCGUCGGACUUCUCGUCAUUUUCGGAACCACUGAUCACCUAGGACGGUUUAGUCUUCCUAAAUGGUUGUUCAAAGUCAUGGUAGUGGUUAGGUACUACUUUAACUACAAAGUGAAGUGACAUGUAUUUUUUGGGUUACACGUAUAGGACUGAAGACCGGUUUGAAAUCCUUCCACAUUCCAGACACACAUACUACUCCUUCAUGGUAGACGAAACAUCAUGCAUCAUGGUAGGAAGUGUAAACGAUCCGCACAUGUACCAUUAUUUACACUACCAUUAGGACCUGGCGUCGACUUAACAGUUACUCCUCAUACUACUUCGAGACCUUCGAAUUUAUGGUCGACGGAACACACAUCAUGGGGAAGACCAAUAAAAAUGAGGUGUAUAUUCUAAACAGACUUCAACUUGAAGCAUUUCAAACUGGUACAAAAACGCAGUACUUAAAUUAAAAGUACAACAUAUUGAAGUCAUACCAUAUACAACUAUAAAAAAGUAUAUUUGUCC
RNAcentral lists this ribosomal RNA (3364 nucleotides) under Triticum aestivum (bread wheat). RNAcentral's name for it is "partial small subunit ribosomal RNA". Lineage: Eukaryota; Viridiplantae; Streptophyta; Magnoliopsida; Poales; Poaceae. The record is from RNAcentral.